GCCGUCUCAACGGGGUGCGGAGAGUCGGGCCGCGUGAUAAGCCCGAUUUUCCGCUGAGAGCACACCCGUCGAACCUGAUCCGGUCAAUACCGGCGGAGGGAUUUGAGCCCAGCGAACCG
RNAcentral lists this non-coding RNA (119 nucleotides) under Oryza sativa (Asian cultivated rice). RNAcentral's name for it is "TPP sequence". It matches the Rfam family "TPP riboswitch aptamer (THI element)". From Rfam's summary of the family: Vitamin B(1) in its active form thiamin pyrophosphate (TPP) is an essential coenzyme that is synthesised by coupling of pyrimidine and thiazole moieties in bacteria. Lineage: Eukaryota; Viridiplantae; Streptophyta; Magnoliopsida; Poales; Poaceae. RNAcentral also lists the same sequence under 3 other names. The record is from RNAcentral.